This 1525-nucleotide long non-coding RNA is filed under the name Nicotiana benthamiana. Its description in RNAcentral is "long non-coding RNA (NBEN_LNC042322)". Lineage: Eukaryota; Viridiplantae; Streptophyta; Magnoliopsida; Solanales; Solanaceae. The record is from RNAcentral.
UUGUUGCUCUUUCCAUUUUUGUCUUUUUGCAUUUCUUUUCUUUGUUCCAUUUGGGUGCUGCAAUACAUCUAUAUUUUGGGUGCCAAGAUUUUGAUGACUGCCGACAAGUUUUUGUUUUCAGUAAUUUGGCCACUUUGAUCAUUAUGCGCCUCCUAUAAUCUGGCUAUUCUAAGAACUGGACAGAUUGAAUUUUGCGUUGAUCUUGGACAUUGUACUUAACAUUCUGAGUUCUACUUAAAUUUCUACCUUUUAACUAGACUUUUACACGUGAGUCAAUUUUUUAUAAUAUGGUCUUCGAGCAGCUUAUCGUGCACUUCGAUUGUUAUCCAAUGUUAUCUCUGUUAACACAGGUACCGGGUGACUCUGUCCUUCAGAGCUUAGCCAAAAUAAAUCACCUCUAUAUUUUUGUCUUUGAUGAGAGUUUGACCCUAGUCUCCCAUAGUGUUGUCUUUCAGACCAUUUUAUUGACGGCUAGAUCACACAUUUGGGUGCUGGACUGUUUUGUCAAACCUUUGUUUUUUGCACUGUUGUGCUUUAUAUGCAGUUGCUUUUCUCAUUUUUCUGUAAGCGGUGCUUAUUGACUGAUAUUGCAGGUUGAGUGUACAAUACCAAAGGACGACGGCUCAUUGGCAACUUUUAUUGGAUUCAGGGUACAACACGACAAUGCUCGAGGCCCCAUGAAAGGAGGAAUCAGAUACCAUCCUGAGGUUAGUUGUUCAACUUGACUGAAUUACACAGAAUGGCAAGAUUGGUCGAGUUUCUUUAAUUCAAGAUCAUGUUUUUGAUUAAUGUAACAAUGUCUGAUACUGAUUCAAAUGGUUGUGAGUAAUAUAGGUAGAUCCGGAUGAGGUGAAUGCCUUAGCACAGCUAAUGACAUGGAAAACAGCAGUUGCCAAUAUACCAUAUGGAGGGGCUAAAGGAGGAAUAGGGUGUAGUCCCAGUGACUUAAGCAUCUCUGAGCUAGAGCGACUUACUCGAGUAUUUACACAAAAGAUACAUGACCUUAUUGGAAUUCAUACAGAUGUUCCAGCACCUGACAUGGGAACAAAUCCACAGACAAUGGCGUGGAUUCUAGACGAGUACUCAAAGUUUCAUGGCUAUUCACCUGCAGUGGUAACUGGAAAACCUAUUGAUCUUGGUGUAUAUAUAUGUCUCAGGCAUAGCAUUUUAUCGGACAGGAGAAAGUGUCAUUUCCCUUUAAGGUUUUGGCAUGCUACGGAUGGAUCUAACUGAAGUGUUGCUUUACGCAGACAAUGGCGUGGAUUCUAGACGAGUACUCAAAGUUUCAUGGCUAUUCACCUGCAGUGGUAACUGGAAAACCUAUUGUAAGUAUGAAUAACAUUCUGAUUUCUGAUUGACAAUCCUUUACACUCCAUAGUUCAUUUUACACGAUCCGAGUAAUGUAAAUAAACUUUCAGUUUGAUGAUAACCUAUUCUCAUGGUCUGUAUUUUCUAGCUUGACUCAUAAUUAUGCAAUCUUUGUAUUGGUUUAACUUGAGAAAUUCAACAUUUUGACAACAGGAUC